RNAcentral lists this ribosomal RNA (1537 nucleotides) under uncultured Streptococcus sp. RNAcentral's name for it is "bacterial SSU rRNA". It matches the Rfam family "Bacterial small subunit ribosomal RNA". The record is from RNAcentral. Lineage: Bacteria; Bacillati; Bacillota; Bacilli; Lactobacillales; Streptococcaceae.
AGAGUUUGAUCAUGGCUCAGGACGAACGCUGGCGGCGUGCCUAAUACAUGCAAGUAGAACGCUGAAGAGAGGAGCUUGCUCUUCUUGGAUGAGUUGCGAACGGGUGAGUAACGCGUAGGUAACCUGCCUGGUAGCGGGGGAUAACUAUUGGAAACGAUAGCUAAUACCGCAUAAAAUUGAUUAUCGCAUGAUAAUUAAUUGAAAGAUGCAAUUGCAUCACUACCAGAUGGACCUGCGUUGUAUUAGCUAGUUGGUGAGGUAACGGCUCACCAAGGCGACGAUACAUAGCCGACCUGAGAGGGUGAUCGGCCACACUGGGACUGAGACACGGCCCAGACUCCUACGGGAGGCGGCAGUAGGGAAUCUUCGGCAAUGGGGGGAACCCUGACCGAGCAACGCCGCGUGAGUGAAGAAGGUUUUCGGAUCGUAAAGCUCUGUUGUAAGAGAAGAACGGGUGUGAGAGUGGAAAGUUCACACUGUGACGGUAUCUUACCAGAAAGGGACGGCUAACUACGUGCCAGCAGCCGCGGUAAUACGUAGGUCCCGAGCGUUGUCCGGAUUUAUUGGGCGUAAAGCGAGCGCAGGCGGUUAGAUAAGUCUGAAGUUAAAGGCUGUGGCUUAACCAUAGUAUGCUUUGGAAACUGUUUAACUGAGUGCAGAAGGGGAGAGUGGAAUUCCAUGUGUAGCGGUGAAAUGCGUAGAUAUAUGGAGGAACACCGGUGGCGAAAGCGGCUCUCUGGUCUGUAACUGACGCUGAGGCUCGAAAGCGUGGGGAGCAAACUGGAUUAGAUACCCUGGUAGUCCACGCCGUAAACGAUGAGUGCUAGGUGUUAGGCCCUUUCCGGGGCUUAGUGCCGCAGCUAACGCAUUAAGCACUCCGCCUGGGGAGUACGACCGCAAGGUUGAAACUCAAAGGAAUUGACGGGGGCCCGCACAAGCGGUGGAGCAUGUGGUUUAAUUCGAAGCAACGCGAAGAACCUUACCAGGUCUUGACAUCCCUCUGACCGCUCUAGAGAUAGAGUUUUCCUUCGGGACAGAGGUGACAGGUGGUGCAUGGUUGUCGUCAGCUCGUGUCGUGAGAUGUUGGGUUAAGUCCCGCAACGAGCGCAACCCCUAUUGUUAGUUGCCAUCAUUCAGUUGGGCACUCUAGCGAGACUGCCGGUAAUAAACCGGAGGAAGGUGGGGAUGACGUCAAAUCAUCAUGCCCCUUAUGACCUGGGCUACACACGUGCUACAAUGGCUGGUACAACGAGUCGCAAGCCGGUGACGGCAAGCUAAUCUCUGAAAGCCAGUCUCAGUUCGGAUUGUAGGCUGCAACUCGCCUACAUGAAGUCGGAAUCGCUAGUAAUCGCGGAUCAGCACGCCGCGGUGAAUACGUUCCCGGGCCUUGUACACACCGCCCGUCACACCACGAGAGUUUGUAACACCCGAAGUCGGUGAGGUAACCGCAAGGAGCCAGCCGCCUAAGGUGGGAUAGAUGAUUGGGGUGAAGUCGUAACAAGGUAGCCGUAUCGGAAGGUGCGGCUGGAUCACCUCC